This is a long non-coding RNA of Vombatus ursinus (common wombat), 743 nucleotides long. RefSeq lists it as uncharacterized. The record is from RefSeq and is a predicted model, not a curated record. Lineage: Eukaryota; Metazoa; Chordata; Mammalia; Diprotodontia; Vombatidae. The transcript has 3 exons.
AAUGCUAGCUAUAAGUAUUAUACAAGAUGAAGAGGAAAAAAUGGAUUGCGAUCUACUGAAUGGAAGAAUUACCCACACCAAGGACUUCACAGACCCAUUGAAAUAGCUAAGUUUUCAGGAUACCACUCUCUCCUGGUUCUCCUCUUACCUAUCAAAUUGCUCUUUCUCACUCUCAACCACAUCCUCAAUGGAUCUUCAACCAGAAUGCCCUCUAAUUGUCUUCAAGCAUUCAAGCAGAAAUUGGAGGAUCACUUUCUAGAGAUACUCUACAAGGAAUUAUUGUUCAGGUACAUACAUGGUAUCUGAGUUCCUUACAACAUUCUAUGGGCAUUCUGAACAAUUAAAAAUGAAUAUCAUACAAGAGCAAUGAAGAGGUAACUGACAAAUGUGAAUACCCUGUGACAUAAAGCCAAUAAAAAACUUCAAAGAAAGAGUUGAGUAAAAGAUGCCAUCAAGGACUCUAACACAAACCUUCACCUUUGACACUAACCUUAAAUGUCUCCUACCCCAACUCUAAGUCAACCCUAAAUACCUCUGACUCUAACCCUAACCCUAGGAAGAAAAAAUGGGAAAGAGAAAUAGAUGACAAGAGGAUAGUCAGAGUGACGUAGUAGUAACCUCAUGAUGUCAGAAGAAAUCAAGGAAGGACUUUACUACAUUGGAUGGACUAUUUUUAGUAUACUAAUGGGAGGAUAUGGACAAGAGCUGCAUAGGAAAAGCAGGCAUGCAUGAGUUGUGAUGGC